This 265-nucleotide long non-coding RNA is filed under the name Glycine max (soybean). RNAcentral's name for it is "long non-coding RNA (GMAX_LNC001650)". Lineage: Eukaryota; Viridiplantae; Streptophyta; Magnoliopsida; Fabales; Fabaceae. The record is from RNAcentral.
CAAUUAACAUUAAGUUGCUUUUCCAGUUCUGGCAUUUUGUUGUAUUGAGGUAGGCUUGGGGUUGAAAAACUUUGCAACUGCUUGAUACAGAUUCUCUUCCUCAAAAGGCUUUGAGACAUAUCCGUCCAUCCCACAUUUCACGCACUCAUCGUAUGUUGCGUGAAUCACAUCAGCUGUCAUGGCCAAUAUAGGUAUAUGGUACUUCUUGUCUUUCCAUCCAUUUCCUUCACCACAUUCACCAUUCAUCUGCUGCUCAUUUGCCUUU